GAACGAGGGGGAGGUGGUCCCCUUUUCAUCAGGAUUUUCUGGCUGUCCUUGGCCAGACGCAGAGCUCUAGGGCUCCAGCCGCUUCCGAGCUGCCUUCAAUGCCAGGUACCCCCGAUCCAGGACCAGCGCCGUCUGGGCACCAGCGGUUCCCAUGACGACAGCCGACUACGCGGCCCGGGACAGCCCGGGCGCGGGUGGCUGCGCUCACCUGCGGGUGCGGGCUGGGGAGAACCGAGCUGUCCCCGCCCGAAGCUUGGGUGCGGAUGGAAACACCCUCGGGGCUGCGGGCGGAAACAAAGCGUCUACCCGCUGGGGCCGACGACCCGGCUCGGGAGAGGAGCUCGGUCAACGCUCGGGGUCGCCGUCCAGCCCCGCUUCUCCUCAGCAGGCUGGGCGCGCCUCUACCGCCCCCGUCAAUCGCAAGAACGUGGGCGGACCGAGAACGCCACGCCGCCCAGCCCGAAGAAUGACCUUGGGAGGGAAGUUACCUGCGCUCCGGAGCCGAGGUGCGGCCACAGCCAAAGAGGCCGAGGCGGAGAGGAGCAGGGUUGGCUUCUCCCGGGGCGCGGACGCGGCUCCGGGAUCUCUGCUCCGCUGGGUUACGGGCGCGAUGACUGGAGUCUCGGGGACCCCGGCUCCGCUCUCUGCUGCCGCCCACCUGUGACCACAGCCGGCCGCCGCCCGGGCGGUGCUCCCGCCUCCCCGCGGCGUCCCCGCCGCCCCCGGGCCGGCGGGGUUCAGUGCCGCAGGUCCGUGAGCUUCCGGGUGCCCCGCCCCCGGCGCCGGGGAUCCCCGCCCGCUCGCACGUGCGAAGGCCCCCCCUGCCCUAGCGAGGCCCCUCCCCGGCCCGCGGCCCGGGCGCCCGGGGGCGCAGAGGAGCCGAGCUCGGGCUCCCGGAGCCGGUCCAGGCGGUCGGGCCCCGGGCUGGCCCCGCACCUCCGCCCCACCCCGCCCGGCCCCGCGGGUGCCUGCGGGCGGUGCGUGGGCGGGGCAGCCUCGGGAGCCUCGGGUCGGGGAAGGCGCGGAGGCGGAAAUACGGGAAACCCCGGAGCCGGGAGGGUUUCCGAAGUACAGGAGAGCCGUGGGUCGGCCAGUCUCACUGAGACUACAGCAACAGGCGUUGGUGGAGCUCUCCACCGCGAAUUGUUACCGAUGUACCGCCCCCAAAUUCGCUAA
This 1176-nucleotide long non-coding RNA is filed under the name Bos grunniens (domestic yak). RNAcentral describes it as "lncRNA (ENSBGRG00000001671.1)". The record is from RNAcentral. Lineage: Eukaryota; Metazoa; Chordata; Mammalia; Artiodactyla; Bovidae.